GAUGAACGCUGGCGGCGUGCUUAACACAUGCGAGUCGAACGAAGCAUUUAGGACAGAUUACUUCGGUUUGAAGUUCUUUAUGACUGAGUGGCGGACGGGUGAGUAACGCGUGGGUAACCUGCCUUGUACUGGGGGAUAGCAGCUGGAAACGGCUGGUAAUACCGCAUAAGCGCACAAUGUUGCAUGACAUGGUGUGAAAAACUCCGGUGGUAUAAGAUGGACCCGCGUCUGAUUAGCUAGUUGGUGAGAUAACAGCCCACCAAGGCGACGAUCAGUAGCCGACCUGAGAGGGUGACCGGCCACAUUGGGACUGAGACACGGCCCAGACUCCUACGGGAGGCAGCAGUGGGGAAUAUUGCACAAUGGAGGAAACUCUGAUGCAGCGACGCCGCGUGAGUGAAGAAGUAAUUCGUUAUGUAAAGCUCUAUCAGCAGGGAAGAUAGUGACGGUACCUGACUAAGAAGCUCCGGCUAAAUACGUG
Molecule: ribosomal RNA, 481 nt
Filed under: uncultured bacterium
Lineage: Bacteria
Description: partial 16S ribosomal RNA
Rfam family: Bacterial small subunit ribosomal RNA
Source: RNAcentral